ACGGCUUACGGAGCCUGCACGGCGGAUGAAUUUGACGCAAAAGUGGAAGCGUUUCAGGCAGCCUAUCAAAAGGCUGUUGAGAGCGAUGCCAAAAAAGCUACGGUAUGGUACGAAACCGUCCGCGACGAAGUGAACGCUAUUGUGUCUGCUGAUGUCGACGACGAUAAUAACGACGUCCUGUGCAAACGCAUAGACGACGUUACAAAACAGAUACCGUAAGCAAACUAGUUUUGGUCGUGUCGUCAACCUCAUGUUGACGACAUCAUCCAAGCCUAGCUUGGCCGACUCGAAAGAGUCUGUUCAUUGACAAUUGAAUAGGGAAGGAAAGGAAAAGAAUGAAGGUCUUUUCUUGUGAGCAAUCAUGAGAGAGACACAAUUCGGGUACAAAGAAUAACAAGUAUGAAAAGGGCACCAGGUGGAUGCCUUGGCGUCGGAAGGCGAUGAAGGACGCGGACGGCUGCGAUAAGCCUCGGGGAGNUGUACAGCAAGGUUAAGCGUAAGUGUAGCCGUAGCGAAAGCGAGUCUGAAUAGGGCGUUAAGUUGGGCGGAGUAGACCCGAAACCGAGUGAGCUAUCCAUGGGCAGGUUGAAGCUCAGGUAAAACUGAGUGGAGGACCGAACCGUCAACGGCUGAAAACGUUCCGGAUGACCUGUGGAUAGGGGUGAAAGGCCAAUCAAACCCGGUGAUAGCUGGUUCUCCCCGAAAUAUAUUGAGGUAUAGCCUCAAGGAUUGUCUGCCGGAGGUAAAGCACUGAAAGAGCUAGGGGUCCCACCAGAUUACCAAACUCUAUCAAACUCUGAAUGCCGGUCAGAUGUACCUUGGGAGUCAGACUGCGGGUGCGAAGAUUCGUAGUCGAAAGGGAAACAGCCCAGAUCAACAGCUAAGGCCUCCAAAUUCAUGCUCAGUGUUGAAGGUGGUAGAGUUACACAGACAGCCAGGAAGUUGGCUUAGAAGCAGCCAUCUUUUAAAGAAAGCGUAAUAGCUCACUGGUCUAGUGACUCCGCGCCGAAAAUGUAACGGGGCUAAGUAUGGUGCCGAAGCUUCGGGAUGCACUUUGUGCAUCGGUAGGGGAGCGUUCUCAUCGGGAUGAAGCUGUGCCGGAAGGCAUGGUGGACUGGUGAGAAGUGAUUAUGCUGACAUAAGUAACGAUAAAACGGGUGAAAAACCCGUUCGCCGUAAACCCAAGGUUUCCUGGGUCAAGGUAAUCUUCCCAGGGUUAGUCGGCCCCUAAGGCGAGGCAGAAAUGCGUAGUCGAUGGGAAACGGAUUAAUAUUUCCGUACUUGCAUAUGUAUGUCCGGAGGGACGCAGAAGGAUAGACCGGCCAACUGUUGGAUUGUUGGUGAAAGGUUGUAGGCGGAAUGGGCUAAUCCCCCAAUCAAUACGCCGAGAGCCGAUGCGAGUCGCAAGACGAGUGGUUGAUUCCCGGCUGCCAAGAAAAGCUGCUAGGCUAAGCAUAUGUGGACCGUACCGCAAACCAACACAGGUGGGUGGGUAUAAACGUACCAAGGCGCUCGAGAGAACUCUGGUUAAGGAACUCGGCAAAAUAACCCCGUAACUUCGGGAGAAGGGGUGCUUGUCCAGGUGAAGUAUUUACUACGUAAGCCCGGACGAGCCGCAGUAAAAUGGCGGUGGCGACUGUUUACUAAAAACAUAGGUCUCUGCAAAGUCGUAAGACGAAGUAUAGGGACUGACGCCUGCCCGGUGCCGGAAGGUUAAGAGGAGAGGUUAGCGCAAGCGAAGCUUUGAAUCGAAGCCCCGGUAAACGGCGGCCGUAACUAUAACGGUCCUAAGGUAGCGAAAUUCCUUGUCGGGUAAGUUCCGACCUGCACGAAUGGCGUAACGAUCUCCGCACUGUCUCAACCAGAGACUCGGUGAAAUUGAAUUGGCGGUGAAAAUGCCGUCUACCCGCAGCGUGACGGAAAGACCCUGUGCACCUUUACUAUAGCUUGACAUUGGGUUUUGGGCUGGCAUGUGUAGGAUAGGUGGGAGACUAUGAACUCUGUACGCCAGUAUGGAAGGAGUCAACCUUGAAAUACCACCCUUGUCAGUUUAAGACUCUAAUCCCGACCCUGUAAUCCAGGCGGGAGACAGUGUCUGGUGGGUAGUUUGACUGGGGCGGUCGCCUCCCAAACUGUAACGGAGGCACGCAAAGGUUCCCUCAGCCUGAUUGGAAACCAGGCGCUGAGUGCAAACGCAUAAGGGAGCUUGACUGCAAGAGUGACAGCUCGAGCAGGGACGAAAGUCGGUGUUAGUGAUCCGGUGGUUCCGCAUGGAAGGGCCAUCGCUCAUUGGAUAAAAGGUACGCCGGGGAUAACAGGCUGAUCGCAUCCAAGAGUCCAUAUCGACGAUGCGGUUUGGCACCUCGAUGUCGACUCAUCACAUCCUGGGGCUGAAGCAGGUCCCAAGGGUACGGCUGUUCGCCGUUUAAAGUGGUACGCGAGCUGGGUUUAAAACGUCGUGAGACAGUUUGGUCCCUAUCUGCUGUGGGCGUAAGAUAUUUGAGAGGGCCUGUCCCUAGUACGAGAGGACCGGGAUGGACGAACCUCUGGUGGGCCUGUUGUAGCGCCAGCUGCAUAGCAGGAUAGCCACGUUCGGAAGGGAUAACCGCUGAAAGCAUCUAAGCGGGAAGCCUGCCUCAAGAUAAGAUAUCUUUGUAGCAAUACGUAAGGCCCCUUGUAGACCACAAGGUUGAUAGGCCGGAGGUGUAAGUGCGGCAACGCAUUCAGCUUACCGGUACUAACAGGCCGAAAACUUGAUUC
RNAcentral lists this ribosomal RNA (2760 nucleotides) under Blattella germanica (German cockroach). RNAcentral describes it as "bacterial LSU rRNA". The stretch from base 393 to 2760 matches the Rfam family "Bacterial large subunit ribosomal RNA". Lineage: Eukaryota; Metazoa; Arthropoda; Insecta; Blattodea; Blattellidae. The record is from RNAcentral.